This 472-nucleotide long non-coding RNA is filed under the name Homo sapiens (human). Its description in RNAcentral is "HSALNT0405119". The record is from RNAcentral. Lineage: Eukaryota; Metazoa; Chordata; Mammalia; Primates; Hominidae.
UGACACAGCCCCACACACAAACCCCUCCUGACACACCCGACCCGUUCCCCGCUGCAGCAGCUUGGGCGCCCAGGUCCAGUGGCCCUGUCAUGAAGCAGGUCUGGCCGAUAGGAGGGUGAGGGGGAUGGCCCCUCCAUGCAUGGAUGCACACUUUACUGGAAGUCAGGGAUCCCUUCACCCCCAGAGGGAGAGGGGAGAGGGAGGAGGCAUGUCUGCACAUCACAUCUGGGUCCCCUGCUACUCUCUGUCCUGGAGGAAGCCAUGUGUCCCGGCUCAGCUCCUUUGGAGACUGUCACCAUGGAAGAAGCACGUCUAUGGCACCACUCUGGAAUCUCAUGAUUGACUUUGACCUCCCCAGCCCCACUGACCAUCCGUGGAUAACUGGACAUUAGGUGAUGGUGGAACUACCCCUCAAAAACAAUCCAGACUUCAUUCCCACAAGGCUAAAAGAAUUUUGUUCAUCUUGCAGGUU